Long non-coding RNA from Bos taurus (domestic cattle), 341 nucleotides. The record is from Ensembl. Lineage: Eukaryota; Metazoa; Chordata; Mammalia; Artiodactyla; Bovidae.
GUUGUUGAACUUAUCAGGAUUGCAUGCUCAAUGAAACUCUGUUUCCUGGAGUCUGAACACCUCAGAGGUGACCAGUGUCUCUUCUUGAUUGACUGAGGUAUUUACUUGUUUCUGCUGUUCAUUCCAUGAAGGCAGAUUUCUUUACCGACCGAUCCAACAGGGAAGACUUAAAAGAAGUUGCAAAAAUAGUACGUAGAAUCCCUUGAACCUUUCACGCAGCUACCUAUGUAUUUCUUUUUAGUUUGUCUAUUGUAUGUGAACUCCAGGAGUUGCUGAUGGACAGGGAUGCCUGGCGUGCUGCAAUUCAUGGGGUCACAAAGAGUCGGACACGACUGAGCGAC